UACGAAGGGGGCGAGCGUUGUUCGGAAUUACUGGGCGUAAAGAGCGCGCAGGCGGUCAGAUAAGUCGAAUGUGAAAGCCCCCGGCUCAACUGGGGAGGGUCAUUCGAUACUGUUCGACUCGAAGGCAGGAGAGGGAAGUGGAAUUCCCGGUGUAGUGGUGAAAUGCGUAGAUAUCGGGAGGAACACCAGUGGCGAAGGCGACUUCCUGGCCUGUUCUUGACGCUGAGGAGCGAAAGCCAGGGGAGCAAACGGG
Molecule: ribosomal RNA, 253 nt
Filed under: uncultured bacterium
Lineage: Bacteria
Description: partial 16S ribosomal RNA
Rfam family: Bacterial small subunit ribosomal RNA
Source: RNAcentral